AUGAUCAGUAGUAAUGAUCAGUAGUAAUGAUCAGUAGAAACGUUCAGCAGAAAUCCAUAAUAGAAACGUCCAGUAGAAAUGUGCAGUAGAAAUGAAACUGGAGAUUGUUUGUUUGAGCUGAAAUUAAAAAAGGGGGAAAAGCAACUAUUGGUGGAAAAAACAGUAAGAAACUAAAUCUGAGCGAAUUAACAGCUGAAGCGUUAAAAACGUGUGCAUUCGUUUGUUUCGCACGUUAUUGUUAUCUCUGAAAAUAUGUUUGGGUUUUUGGAUGGUAAAAAUACAUUCCAUGUCAGGUUACGUACAGUUGUGGUCUGGUGGUUAGAUUUACACCAAUCGUCCUGUUCAAAAGUUUACACCCCCUAGCGCUUAAUGUAUCGUGUUGUCUUCUUGAGCAUCAGUGAAUGUGCAUCUUAUGUAAUAGUUGUGUACGAGUCCCUCAGUUGUCGUGAGUGUGAAAAGACGGAUCUCAACAUCAUAUAGAGACCGUUAAAAGGAAAGGGCUCAAAUAUGCAGAAGAUACUGGAAAAGCGAAGAAUGUGCAGGAGAGGGAGGAUUUUUCUGAAGAACAGUGGGCAGUUUAACUGCUCAGGA
Long non-coding RNA from Ictalurus punctatus (channel catfish), 591 nucleotides. Lineage: Eukaryota; Metazoa; Chordata; Actinopteri; Siluriformes; Ictaluridae. The record is from Ensembl.